RNAcentral lists this ribosomal RNA (114 nucleotides) under Bacillota bacterium. Lineage: Bacteria; Bacillati; Bacillota. The record is from RNAcentral.
UGGUGACAAAAGCGGAGAGGCCACACCUGUUCCCAUCUCGAACACAGCAGUUAAGCUCUCCAGCGGCGAUGGUACUGCCACAUCUCGUGGUGGGAGAGUAGCUCGUCGCCGGGA